CUCGUACAUCAAUUAAUCGGCCACGCAGGGGCGCUGGCCGUCGCCCAUAUUUCCCAUCAUCCUUUGCGACAUCUCCUAUAAAAGCGCCUUGCAACGUCGUUCCUACCUCUUUUCACCGGCGUGUCUUCAAGAUCAGCUGAAGAUCCCUACAAGAUGCCUGGAGUGCGAGAAUGGCCUGUCUUUGGCGUUCUCAAAAACUCAUCGGGUCUCAUCCCAGCCUGUAAUCUACCGCUGAGCCACCAGGCCGGAUGAUUCAAUGUCUUUAAUGCUUUCUGUCCAAGGAAAAAUGAAGACUCGCCGGACCACAUGGUUGGAAGAGUUUUAUUGUGGUUAAACUGCGUCACCCCAAGAAGCAUUUGUUCAUCUUUGUUCUCUGCUGCUGUGAUGAUUCUUAUUUGCUACUCUUGACAAGCUGGAUGACGAGACUGUUCAACCACCAUGUUUGACUAUCUGAGGCGGUGAUGUCUGAAAGUUACAGAUUCAUGUAAUUGUU
Betta splendens (Siamese fighting fish) is the source of this 493-nucleotide long non-coding RNA. RefSeq lists it as uncharacterized. NCBI's taxonomy places the organism in Eukaryota, Metazoa, Chordata, Actinopteri, Anabantiformes, Osphronemidae. The record is from RefSeq and is a predicted model, not a curated record. The transcript is spliced from 4 exons.